This 546-nucleotide ribosomal RNA is filed under the name fungal sp. APA-2013. RNAcentral describes it as "eukaryotic LSU rRNA". The stretch from base 179 to 332 matches the Rfam family "5.8S ribosomal RNA". The record is from RNAcentral. Lineage: Eukaryota; Fungi.
UUUCCGUUGGUGACAGCGGAGGGAUCAUUACCGAGUUUACAACUCCCAAACCCCUGUGAACAUACCUUAUGUUGCCUCGGCGGAUCAGCCCGCGCCCCGUAAAAAGGGACGGCCCGCCGCAGGAACCCUAAACUCUGUUUUUAGUGGAACUUCUGAGUAUAAAAAACAAAUAAAUCAAAACUUUCAACAACGGAUCUCUUGGUUCUGGCAUCGAUGAAGAACGCAGCAAAAUGCGAUAAGUAAUGUGAAUUGCAGAAUUCAGUGAAUCAUCGAAUCUUUGAACGCACAUUGCGCCCGCCAGUAUUCUGGCGGGCAUGCCUGUUCGAGCGUCAUUUCAACCCUCAAGCCCAGCUUGGUGUUGGGAGCUGCAGUCCUGCUGCACUCCCCAAAUACAUUGGCGGUCACGUCGAGCUUCCAUAGCGUAGUAAUUUACACAUCGUUACUGGUAAUCGUCGCGGCCACGCCGUUAAACCCCAACUUCUGAAUGUUGACCUCGGAUCAGGUAGGAAUACCCGCUGAACUUAAGCAUAUCAAUAAGGGAAGGAA